AAGAAGGUGGCUUGGGGCGGGCCGGCGCGUCGCGGAGCGCCCGCGCUGUUUUCAUAGCGCUGCAACGUCCGGCCUCGAAGCCAAAGGAUCGAGUACUGGGCACUAAAGAAGCUGCAAGUUACAUGCUGCUGAAUACCAUACAGAAAUGUAAAAGAAGUGGAAGCAAGUUUAAUGGAUUAUUUUUGUGGAAUGAUUGUGUCUGUUUUAACUGGGACUUUACUACAGAUAAACUGCAUGUUGUUCUUUAUUCUUUGCUAAAGUUUAGCACUGGAAGUAGUUCAUAUGUAGCAAUUGCAAUUUGAAUGUGGCCAUUGUUGUCAAAUAUUGCAAUAUACUUUAAGUUGCAACUUCCAGUCUUUCUCAUUCUUUAAAACAUUCACUUUUAUUAAUUUGCAGUUUUCCAUUCUUGCUUUUUCCUUGAAGUUGGCUUGUUGCUUUCUCAGAAAGUCUGAACAAAGUUUCUUCAUUGUAUUUCUACAUUAGAACACCCGGAGGAAUACAAAUGCAUGGUUUGUAAUUUUGGACUUCAGAUUAAACCAUUUGAAGUAUUUUUACUGUUUAAGCUUAGCACAGCAUGUACUUCCUAUAGAGGUGGGUAGCAUAACUAACCUGUGCUAUUAAACUGCCUUUUAUGUCUUUUGAGCUGCAUGUUCUUGGGAAAGAAAUACAAGUGGUUUGUUGUUGUUUUUUGAGGUGGGGGGAACUGGUUUCCUAAAGAAGACUUGUACGCUCAUCCUAUACAUAUUUGUGUUUCAGUUAACCAAUUUCAGUCAAAUUUGACAGAGGAGAAGAGGUAUUAAGAAAUAAGUUUUCUUUAACCUUGUGCAAGAAAGGGAAUGUUUAGAAGAAAAUAUCUUAUUAAUACCAUAAUUUCAGGAAAAGCUGUAGUAUGAACUCAGUUCUUGCUAGACAUAAGAGCGUCUGCAGGGGGACAAACUGUUCUAUGUAAUCUACCUGCCAGAAGCGCUUUAAUCAUGGCUCAUACUUUAAUCAUAGCUCACACACCAGGCAAUUAAUUCUGCAGCUUGAAUUUUUCUCUGAGGUGGAGUUGCUGGUAGCUAAUACGACUCAAAUUCAAUCUGAUUCUUGCCACAUGGCUAGGGCUCUUAAAACAGGCCUGUGUCUUCUUUCCUUCACUCCCUCUCUUUUCUGAUGUCUAAUAAGCUGUGGGACAUCCUGCAGCUUUUGUCUGCACAAUUUAAAGGCCAAUUGUAAAAUCCCAAAUCGCCAAAAACCAGGCUUGUGCUGUAAAUAUAUACUUCAGAUAUAUAGGCUGUGAAAUUUGGCAGUGCUUUUGGCCUCUACCUCACUUUUAGCAGCUGGCAAUUAAGUGUAGAUUUUUACGUGUAAAAUACAGUGGAGAACUUCCUCAUCAGAGUUUAAAGGAAAGUAUGACCCUCUGUGGAAACAUGAUCCUUUGUUUUAUUUUAAGUUUAUUGUCAGCAGUAGUGACAUAAAUUUAAAUGGAAGCAAAUUAGUGAUUGCUGCUUCAGGAGCUGGACCACUUUAAAACUGGAGGAAAUUAAAGCUAUUGGUUGGAUCCUAGAGGAAAACAUACUGCCUUCUGGAAAGAUUAAGGAGGCUCGUUCUGAUGAUGCGUAAACAAACAACUGCUAAAGUGUCUACCGUUUUAACCAUGGAUGCUGUUAAAGGACAUAUGAGGAAGAAGGAUAGAACAUUACAAGCUGCAAAACUGAACACUUCUCUAGCAUCUAAAAUAAAAACUAAAUUAAUAAAUAACUCAUCUAUUUUUAAAGUAUCUUUAAAACAAAAUAAUAAAGCAUUAGCUCUGGCUUUGAGUGUAGAGAAAGAACAUUCUCGGAAGCUAAAGAAUGAGAAGAUUUUUCUUCAGAAAGAAGUAGAAGAGCUGCAGCUUCAUAAUAUCUUGCUUCGUCGAAAACUAAACUAUUUGAAUAAAACUCUUACAGAAAUAGAAGCUUUUUUGAAUAGUAACCUCUUAACUGCAAUAGAAAUAAGCACUCUUUCUGAGAAUCUUCAGAGUUCUCUUCUCCUGUCAGAGAGAGACAGCAGCUGUACAGACGACCAGGUCAGGAGUAUUUGUAAGUCAGCUAGAUCUCUGGAACUGCCAGUGAAGCUUCCUUUAAUUGCAGCAUCUAAUGCAAAACAGCAGGAUAGCCCUUCUAUGUGUGAAGAACUAAAUUCUUGUACAACUACUACAAUUUUGUCAAAGGAAGUACACUCAGAUCAACUCAGGUUUGCAUUAUCAUUGCCUUCCAAUAAAAAUAAUCAAAAGUCAAAUGAAAUAGACCAGGUGGAAGCAACUGAAGACACAAAUACAUUUUUGAAAGAAAAUCAGUUAGCUACAGAACUAAACUGCAACAAUGUCAUUCUGACUCGUCUUAGUAGUGCACAAUAUCCGAGACAGUCCAAGGAGCUUACAAAACAAUGUACUGAUAGUUCAUUGCCAUUCUGUGGAAAUGUGACUGAAAGGAAGAAACAUGCAAUACAUUAUAGAUCAAAAACUCAACCUAAUAUUAAGAAUUCUGAUAAAAAAUGUAGUUCAAAUAAUCUGCUUCAUUGUGAUAUUAAUGGCAGCAGCAACAGCAAUGAUGUGAACUUGCAGGCAAAAUCCAGUGGCUUGUCUUGCAGUAUUCCUUCACCUCUUCAUUUUAGCAGUGAAAAUAACAUACGUUUUAAGAUGCCUGUGGACAAGAUUAAACCUGAAGAAACUGUUUAUGAUGCUGAUAUGGAAUUGACUGCCAGUAAUGUAGGUGAACUACUCACAGUUACAUCGAAAGAUAAACUACACCAAAAUAAAAAUAGUAAUGCCAAUUCUGAUAAAACACCAGCAAAUUUCAGAAGAGUAAACUAUUCUAAAGAGAAAAUGAAAAGCAAGCCUAAAGUAAGUUCACAUUCAUAUGCAGAAGAAAGGCGCUCUAAGACUGACAGCAGUAUAGAUUCAAAAACUAGUGACUCAGGAACUCAAAUAUUCCAAAAUCAGACAGAACAGCUACCUACAGAGAAUUCCUUAGGUAAAUUGAGUUUAAAAAAUACCAGCAAAUACUAUCAAGAACAGGGUUGCCCAAGUAAAGCUAAAGAUACUAGAAGGACUUACCUGGUUAACCUACUGAGUCCAAGGAAAGAAGUCCAAGGAAAUCAAGAAACUUUCCCAGAAAAGUUUGAAGAUAUGGAAAACAAAAUACAAAAAGCAGACUCUAACUCAUCUAAUAAUGAAAUCUCCCCUGAAGUUUAUUCUGCAGAAAGUUUUCCGUUCCAGGAUAACAUCUCUAAUGCAUUGUCUUUACAGCAGGACUUUCUACAUACAAAUGAGAAACAUAUCAGCCCAGAAAUGAAUAGGAAAGCCUUUCAGAACCCUUCUAAAAAGAAUGCAACAAAAUAUUAUAGAGAGGAAAACGGAUGGUAUAGAGAACAUGGUUCAAAAACGUCUCAAACAGAGAUAUGCCAACAUGACUGGAAGAGCAAAGAAGAACAGAAGAAUGUCGGAAAGAGUAAAUACAACCAAAAAAGUAGUUACAGACAAAGUGGAGACACUGAAAGUGGCAGUAUUCAUAAAACCAUUCAGAAAAUAGACCGAAGGAAUAAUAAUGUUUCACCAGGAAGAUUAAAACAUACAUUAGCAAAAGCUAGCCGGAAAGUAUGUAUAAUACCAACAGAAAACCUUAAGCAAUUUACACUUCGUAGAAAUGAAGGGUUAAAAAAUAAGAAUGCAUUGCACACAGAUGUUGUCCAUGGAAGUAAAAUAGCUAAAACACUGCAAAUACAAGGAGCUUUAGAUUCUGAGAAUUAUGUAGCUAUGAAUACAUUGCAAGCUAGUUCCUCUACAAAAAAGGUUGCUGAUGGCAGUAUUGACAUGUUAAAGAAAGAGGUAGAUUCCUCAUCAAUGGCACAUAAAAAUCCUUUUGUUAUUAAUUCUCCUGAUGAUCAGGUAGAGAACAAAGGGAGCUUUAUUUCUGAUUUUACUGAGAUCAGACCAGAAAAAAAGGAUUUGGGGAAUGCUGACUCAGGGGAGCAGAAUAUUUUGGACAACCAGAAAGUCCUGCCUGAGACAGGUUCCUUUAUGAGCAAGUUAAAGCCAACAGUUCAAAAAUCAGACUUUCUUAAAUUCCUACCUGUAGACUGCUCUGAGAAUACAACAUCAAGCUCAAGUAGCUUUUUCCAGGAAGGUAUUCCCCAUGUGGAGCUCCCAGUUGUUGAUUUUCAUAAUGUUUCAGUGGACUUCUCUGUCCUGAAGAACUCUGAAAUCUAUGGAAAAAAUGAUAAUACAGAAACACUGAGUGCUGAAAUAGCAGAGCAAAAACUGGAUCAUACUUCUACAGAAACUUAUAAAAAGUCUCUGAUACCUUGUUGUGGGAAAAAGGCUUUGCAAGAUCUGACAAAUACUAGUAUGUGUUCUCUCACUUCAUUAUCUAAAUCCCUCCAAAUGUUAGAAGAAAACUCAGCAGUUCGAGCUAGACGAGGAGGAGCCGCUAUUUGCUACAAAGAACCCAAACUAAACUGCAAAUUAAGGCGUGGAGAUCAGUUUACAGAUACAGAUUUUCUGAAUUCCCCUGUUUAUAAAGUAAAAAAUAAAAGAAGCUUUAAAAGUAAAUCAAAAUUUAUUUGAAGAAGACAAGAGAAUUGCCUUUAUGAACACUAUUUUUAAAAUGUGUACUUCGUUUUUUCCCAAAAUGGUAUAUAGACUGCUUACUGUUUUUUGAUUAAUAAAGGUGAAACACAGCAUUCCAAAGUAGAUUUUUCUGGAAAGGAACCUAUAAGUAAGUGACACAGGAUACCUCACUGAGGAGGACAAUACAGGAGCAGAAUUAUUCUCAGUUCUGGCUGGAAAAGACACAAGCAUCCCGAAUUUUGAUAAAUCCACUGAAAAAAGAUGAACAAGUCUCAUUAUUGUUUAAUUAUAAAGUGGAACAAAAUGUGAUAGUUGAUUUUUUUUUCCUUUUUCUUUUUUUUAUUAGAUUUCACAGAAUCAUGUUGAAAUUUGAAUGAGGGGGUGUAUUUUUAUUUUUAUUUUUUUGGAAUAGUAGACAAAUUCUGGUAUUGCCAGAGACAACCAGACAGAAACAGCAGUAUAAUAGAAAUUCAGUAGUAAGUAUGAUCCAGACAAAGCAGUGCUGUGAGUUUCCAGUUGACAGAGUGUUAGUGUGACAAACACUACAACCACAUCCUGUAUCAGACUUGUUAUACUGUUUCUCCUCAGGAGCCUCAUGAAUCCACUGCAUGUCCUCUAAUGCAUUGUCAACAGACACAGUUUUCUGGGAUAAUCUGAAUCACAGUUGUUGCCAACUGCAGACUAUAGCUCACAGUGUACUCAACUUUUACAGAUUAGAUUGGAUAAGGCUCAGGUUCAUUUUGCAGCUGAGUUUGCUAUAGUUCAUUUUAGUUCAUUAUAGCUCAUUCAGAUUAAAAAUAAACUAACUUAUUUGCUUAUAGAAGAUGGCUCUUCACACAAUAUGCAGUUAGGCUGAGAAAUUCCUUGACACAGGAGUAGAUGUUACUAGGUGGCAUGAGCUUCAAAGUUGAUUGGAGAAAUUCAUGGAAGGAAAAUCUAUGAGAAGACACCAUUUCUGGCACAGGAUAUCCCUGAAUUGUAAAUUGUUGAAGGCUGGAAGAGUAUUUCAGGGAAGUCUCGUUCUUUAUGUACAUCCUCCUUUAUGUCAUCCUCCUCCCAUUUACUUCUUUAUGG
Rhea pennata is the source of this 5662-nucleotide RNA transcript. It is a transcript of the gene named shugoshin 2, with no coding region annotated. The transcript has 12 exons. NCBI's taxonomy places the organism in Eukaryota, Metazoa, Chordata, Aves, Rheiformes, Rheidae. The record is from RefSeq and is a predicted model, not a curated record.